Molecule: ribosomal RNA, 468 nt
Filed under: uncultured bacterium
Lineage: Bacteria
Description: partial 16S ribosomal RNA
Rfam family: Bacterial small subunit ribosomal RNA
Source: RNAcentral
GACGAACGCUGGCGGCGUGCUUAACACAUGCAAGUCGAACGGAAAGGCCCUGCUUUUGUUGGGUGCUCGAGUGGCGAACGGGUGAGUAACACGUGAGUAACCUGCCCUUGACUUUGGGAUAACUUCAGGAAACUGGGGCUAAUACCGGAUAGGAGCUCUUGCUGCAUGGUGGGGGUUGGAAAGUUUCGGCGGUUGGGGAUGGACUCGCGGCUUAUCAGCUUGUUGGUGGGGUAGUGGCGUUCCAAGGCUUUGACGGGUAGCCGGCCUGAGAGGGUGACCGGCCACAUUGGGACUGAGAUACGGCCCAGACUCCUACGGGAGGCAGCAGUGGGGAAUAUUGCACAAUGGGCGGAAGCCUGAUGCAGCAAUGCCGCGUGCGGGAUGCCGUCCUUCGGGUUGUAAACCGCUUUCGCCUGUGACGAAGCGUGAGUGACGGUAAUGGGUAAAGAAGCACCGGCUAACUACGUG